GACGAACGCUGGCGGCGUGCCUAAUACAUGCAAGUCGAACGAACCGCGACUAAGUGCUUGCACUAAGACAAGGUGAGUGGCGAACGGGGGAGUAACACGUGGGUAACCUACCUCAUAGUGGGGGGUAACAGUCGGAAACUACUGCUAAUACCGCAUAGGACAUAGGAUCACAUGAUCCAGCGAGGCAAGGUCGCGCAAGCUAUCGCUAAGUGAUGGACCCGCGGGGCAUUAGCUCGUUGGUGGGGUAAAGGCCUACCAAGGCGAUGAUGCUUAGCCGGCCUGAGAGGGUGAUCGGCCACAUUGGGACUGAGACACGGCCCAAACUCCUACGGGAGGCGGCAGUAGGGAAUCUUCGGCAAUGGACGCAAGUCUGACGGAGCAACGCCGCGUGUGUGAAGAAGGUCUUCGGAUCGUAAAGCUCUGUUGUUAGAGAAGAACAGCGCAUAGAGUAACUGCUAUGCGUGUGACGGUACCUAAACAGAAAGCCACGGCUAACUACGUG
RNAcentral lists this ribosomal RNA (502 nucleotides) under uncultured bacterium. RNAcentral's name for it is "partial 16S ribosomal RNA". It matches the Rfam family "Bacterial small subunit ribosomal RNA", at positions 28 to 507 of the family's 1533-position model. The record is from RNAcentral.